Molecule: non-coding RNA, 76 nt
Organism: Myotis lucifugus (little brown bat)
Lineage: Eukaryota; Metazoa; Chordata; Mammalia; Chiroptera; Vespertilionidae
Source: Rfam
GAGACACCCUUAUGGAUCAGUACUUGCUUCAAUUGAACUUUGGUGCUCACUGAGUCUGACCCUUGAGUGUGUCACU